Molecule: ribosomal RNA, 844 nt
Filed under: Hypotrachyna nepalensis
Lineage: Eukaryota; Fungi; Ascomycota; Lecanoromycetes; Lecanorales; Parmeliaceae
Description: partial small subunit ribosomal RNA
Rfam family: Bacterial small subunit ribosomal RNA
Source: RNAcentral
GAGGAAUGUAUAGCAAUAGCUAGUUGCAUCAUUGUAAUGAUGAUGCAAUAUUGACUAUGUUGAAUAAAAUUCUAGGUAGAAUUAUGAUAAUGACAUUGUCUGCCUAUGUGUCUUGACCAAAUUACGUGCCAGCAGUCGCGGUAAUACGUAGAAGACUAGUGUUAUUCAUGUUUAAUCGGUUUAAAGGGUACCUAGACGGCAGAUCAAGCUUUCCGAGAAGAAAAAAAAAAGAAAAAAGGACUAAUUUGCUAGAGUUACUUACGAGGGGGCUUUAAAGUACUAAUGGUGUAGAGAUGAAAUUCUGUCAUACCUCUUUUCGAAAGAAAAAAUAUGGCACAGGUAUAGGCGAAGGCAUCCCCUUAUGUGAUAACUGACGUUGAGGGACGAAGGCUUUAUAUAAUGAACAGGAUUAGAUACCCCAGUAGUGGAAGCAGUAAAUGAUGAAUGUCAUAAAUUAGCUAGAUAGGUUCAUUCUAUAAAUGAAAGUGUAAGCAUUCCACCUCAUGAGUAAUUUGGCAACAUUGGAAUUGAAAUCAUUAGACCGUUUCUGAAACCAGUAGUGAAGUAUGUUGUUUAAUUUGAUAAUCCGCAAAAAACCUUACCACAAUUUGAAUAUUUAUAUCUUUUUUUUAUUGUUUUCUUAUUAAUUUUCUUCUCUUUAAUUUAAUAACAAAGUAUUAAAGAAAAGAGGAAAAUCUUUAAUGCAGAGGCAAUAAUAUAUAUUUACAAGCGUUGCACGGCUGUCUUCAGUUAAUGUCGUGAGACUUUGGUUAGAUCCAUUAAAUUAACGUAAACCCUUACUUUAUUUUUAGAUAGAGUUGUUCUCCACUAUAUUGGAUAAGAU